Molecule: microRNA precursor, 87 nt
Organism: Cricetulus griseus (Chinese hamster)
Lineage: Eukaryota; Metazoa; Chordata; Mammalia; Rodentia; Cricetidae
Gene: Mir27a
Product: microRNA mir-27a
Source: Ensembl
UGGCCUGAGGAGCAGGGCUUAGCUGCUUGUGAGCAAGGUCCGCAGCAAGUCGUGUUCACAGUGGCUAAGUUCCGCUCCCCCGGGCCC